UUGUAAUGGCAUUUCUCUAAUUUGACACAAUUGUAAUGGCAUGGAUCCAAUUAA
This 54-nucleotide small RNA is filed under the name Oryza sativa Japonica Group (Japanese rice). RNAcentral describes it as "sRNA Os07g0488032". The record is from RNAcentral. Lineage: Eukaryota; Viridiplantae; Streptophyta; Magnoliopsida; Poales; Poaceae.